Molecule: ribosomal RNA, 240 nt
Filed under: uncultured bacterium
Lineage: Bacteria
Description: partial 16S ribosomal RNA
Rfam family: Bacterial small subunit ribosomal RNA
Source: RNAcentral
CCGGCACGGGUGAGUAACACGUAUGCAAUCCACCUGUAACAGGGGGAUAACCCGGAGAAAUCCGGACUAAUACCCCAUAAUAUGGGCGCUCCGCAUGGAGAGCCCAUUAAAGAGAGCAAUUUUGGUUACAGACGAGCAUGCGCUCCAUUAGCCAGUUGGCGGGGUAACGGCCCACCAAAGCGACGAUGGAUAGGGGUUCUGAGAGGAAGGUCCCCCACAUUGGAACUGAGACACGGUCCA